GGCUUAAUUUGACUCAACGCGGGAAAUCUUACCGGGUCCGGACACACUGAGGAUUGACAGACAAAUAUAGAAAUUUUAUAUUUCUCAUAUAUAAAGAUGCUAGUUCUUUCAUGAUUAUGUGAUAGGUGGUGCAUGGCCGUUCUUAGUUCGUGGAGUGAUCUGUCUGCUUAAUUGCGUUUCAAUUUUUAUUAUGUAUACGUAUGACCCACGUUUACGCGUGCGAGUCUAGUAUGCUAUCAUUUGAAAGCAACGAACGUGACCGUAUCCUUUUAUUAUAUACGCACGCGUAUAUUUAUUCAUUAAAGGGACCGCUGUUUCUUUUUUUAAACCAGAGGAAGGUUACGGCAAUAACAGGUCUGUGAUGCCC
Molecule: ribosomal RNA, 367 nt
Filed under: Elphidium sp. S1
Lineage: Eukaryota; Foraminifera; Rotaliida; Elphidiidae
Description: SSU rRNA
Rfam family: Eukaryotic small subunit ribosomal RNA
Source: RNAcentral